Molecule: long non-coding RNA, 4165 nt
Organism: Gorilla gorilla gorilla (western lowland gorilla)
Lineage: Eukaryota; Metazoa; Chordata; Mammalia; Primates; Hominidae
Exons: 3
Source: RefSeq, a predicted model, not a curated record
AGUCUCACCUCCCACGUGGAACCCCACGCCUGCAGGGGCCAGAUUCCGGAUGCUGACCGCUCGCGCGCCUAGGGCCCCGAAAUACAAGUCCCAGCAAGCCGCGGGCGAACCACGCCCACUUCCGGCGCGGGCCCCUGAACUCUGCGCUGUGCGGAGCGGGAUUCUUGGGCGGAGGGGACCAUCUUUGAGUCAGCGACGCGUGUAUUCAAGUCCUCCUCCUCGUUUUUUAUUACAAACAAAUAAGAAUUAUUUUAGGAAUACCUGUUAAGUUCCCAGUGACUGUUUGCAUUCCUUGGCUUAUGGCUCGCUCCUUUAUCUUCAAAGUGCAUGACUGCAACCUCUGCCUUCAUCAUCACAUCACAUGCUCAGAGAUGAAGUUUCACCAUGUUGUCCGGGCUGGUCUCCACCUCCUGGGAUCAAGCGAUGCUCCCACCUCAGCCUCCCAAAGUGCUGGGAUUACAGGCUGAGCCACCAUGCCUGGUCUUCUACUCUCUUUUCAAGCCGCCAACAACUCCUCCCAUCUCACUGAGUGCUGAUGACUUUGCUUUCUGUUACUGAGUAAAGAGAACUUCUAUACCGCCUCACAGGCACAUCUGCCCUCCUCUCUGCAUUAGAAACUGUAUGCUCUACUUUUCAUUCUGAGUCACUGGCCCUAGUUCCUAUAUGAGAAAAUUCUUUUGCACCCUGGAUGUUAAAUGCUUUCUCAUGAAUGAGGUCCUUCUCUCUCUUCUGUAUUUCAAGAUUUUCAUUCUGUACUGAAUUAUCAGCAUACUAAUGAAUACACUGUAAUAUUGUCCAUAAAAUAAAUAAAACCCCUUACCUUGCACCCUAUUUCUCUCCAGCCACUACCUCAUUUCUCUGCUUUGCUUUACAGCAAAACUCCUAAAAAAAAUUGUCCCUAAGGGAUGUUUCCAAUUUCUUUUCUCCCAUAUUCUCUCUUUUUUCACAUGCAAAACCCAAAAUUUAAUUUUUAACUUAAUUUUAAAAAUUGGUAUAUAAUAGAUGCACAUAUUUUGGGGGUACAUGUGAUAAUUUGAUUAAUAUUAUGUGUAAAGAUCAAAGCAGGGAAAUUGGGAUAUCUAUCGCUAAGUAUUUGUCUUUUCUGUAUGCCGGAAAUAUCCAAAUGAUUCUCUUCUGGCUAUUUUGAAAUGUACAGUAGGUUAAUGUUAACCGUAGCUAACCUACUGGUUUAUUGAACACCAGGUCUUAUUUUUUCUAACUGUGUAUUACACCUUGGUAUGUUUUGGCUCUGUGUCCCCACCCAAAUCUCAUCUUGAAUUGUAAUUCCCACGUGUUGAGGGAGGGACCUGUAAUUCCCACAAGUGGAGGGAGGGAGGUGAUUGGAUCACAAGGGACAGUUUCCCCCAUGGUGUUCUCAUGAUAGUGAGUGAGCUCUCACAAGAUCUGAUGGUUUGUGAGAUAUGUUUGGAAGUUCCUCCUUUGUUCUUCUCUCUCCUGCCACCUUGUGAAGAAGGUGACUGCUUCUUCUUCCAACAUGAUUGUAAGUUUCCUGAGGCCUCCCCAGCCAUGUGGAAGUGUGAGUCAAUUAAACCUCUUUUCUUUAUAAAUUACCCAGUCUCAGGCAUAUUUUAUAGCAGUGAAAAAAGACUAAUACAUACCCCUUAACCAACCUCUAUUCAGACCCCUACCUCUACUCUUUCUGAACUCUGGUUACCACCAAUCUACUCUCUAUCUUCAUGAAAUCCACUUGUUUUUUUGUUUAGCUCCCACGUAUGAGUGAGAAUAUGCAAUAUUUGUCUUUUUGUGCUUGGCUUAUUUACUUAACAUCAUGGCCUCUAGUUCCAUCCAUAUUGCUGCAAAUGACAGGAUUUCAUUCUUGUUUAUGACUGAAUAAUAUUCCGUUAUGUACAUACACCACAUUUCUUUAUCCAUUCAUCCAUUGAUGGCCACUUAGGUUGAUUCCAUAUUUUGGAUAUUGUUGCAGUAAACAUGGGAAUGCAGAUAGCUCUUUAGUAUUCCCUUUCUUUUGGAUAUAUACCCAGUAGUGGAAUUGCUGGAUCAUAUGGUAAUUCUAUUUUUAGUUUUCUGAGGAGCCUCCAUACUGUUCUCCAUAGUGGUUGUACUAAUUUACAUUCCCAUCAACAGUGUACAACUAUUCCCCUUUCUCCAAAUCCUCGCCAGCAUCUGUUAUUCCCUGUUUUUCAGAUAAAAGUCAUUUUAACUGUGGUGAGAAGAUAGCUCACUGUGCUUUUGAUUUGCAUUUUUCUCAUGAUUAGUGAUGUUUAACAUUCUUUUAUAUACCUGUUAGCAAUUUUAUGUCUUCUUUUGAGAAAUGUCUAUUCGGAUCUCUUUUGUCCAUUUUUAAACUGGAUUAUUUGUGUUUUUACUAUAGAGUUGUUGGAGCUUCUUGUAUAUUCUGGUUAUUAAUCCCUUGUCAGGUGGAUAGGUUGUGAUAUUUUCUCCUAUUCUGUGGGGUUGUCUGUUCACUUUGUUAGUUGUUUCCUUUGCCGUGCAGAAGCUUUUUAGUUUGAUGUAAUUCCAUUUGUCUAUUUUUGCCUUUGUUGCCUAUGCUUUUGAGGUCUUACACAAAAAAAUUUUUGCCCAGACCAAUGUCCUAGAGUGUUUCCUCAAUGUUUUCUUCUAGUAGAUUCACAGUUUCAGGAUUUAGAUUUAAGUCUUUAAUCCAUUUUAUUUGAUUUUUGUUUAUGGUGAGAGAUAGGGGUCUAGUUUCAUUCUUCUGCAUAUGGUUAUUCAGUUUCCCAGCAUCAUUUAUUGAAAAGACUGUCCCUUUCUCCAACGUAUGUUAUUGGUUCCUUUGUUGAAAAUGAGUUGGCUGUAAGUGCAUGGAUUUGUAUCUGGGUUCUCUAUUCUGUUCCAUUCGACUGUUUGUCUGUUUUUAUGCCAGUCCCAUACUGAUUUGGUUACUAUAGCUUCAUACUAUAUUUUGAAAUCAGGUAUUAUGCUAUCUUCAGCUUUGUUCUUUUUGCUCAGGGUUGCAUUGGCUAUUUGGGGUCUUUUGUGGUUCCACAUAAAUUUUAGGAUUUUUUUUCCUAUUUCUGUGAAGAAUGUUUUUUGUGAAGAAUGUUAUUGGUAUUUUGUUAGGAAUUGCAUUGAAUGUAUAAAUUGCUUUGAGUAGUAUUGUCUUUUUUUUUUUUUUUUGAGACAGAGUCUCUCUUUGUCACCCAAGCUGGAGUGCAGUGGUGUGAUCUCAGCUUACUGCAACUUCUGCCUCCUGGGUUCAAGUGAUUCUCCUGCCUCAGCCUCCUGAGUAGCAGGGGCUACAGGCGCCCGCUGCCACACCUGGCUAAUUUUUUGUAUUUUAGUAGAGACAGAGUUUCACCGUGUUGCCUAGGCUGGUCUUGAACUCCUGAGCUCAGGCAAUCCACCUGCCUCAGCCUCCCAAAGUACUAGGAUUACAGGCGUGAGCAACCACACCCGGCCAGUAGUAUUGUCUUUUUAACAAUACCAGUUCUUCCAGUCCAUGAGCAUGGACUAUCUUUCCAUAUUUUGGUGUCCUCUUCAAUUUUUUUCAUCAGUGUUUUAUAGUUUUCCUUGUAUUGAUCUUUUACUUCUUUGGUUAAAUUGGUUCCUAUGUAUUUUAUAUUCUUUGUAGCUAUUGUAAAUGGGGACAAAUUGUAAAUCAAAAAAUGCUUUUUGAUUUCUUUUUCAGAUUGUUUGCUGUUGAUGUAUAUAAAUGCUACUGAUUUUUGUAUGUUGAUUUUGUAUCCUGGAACUUUACUGAAUUUGUCAGUUCAAAGAGUAUUUUGGUAGAGUUUUUAGGAUUUUGUAAAUAUAAGAUCACAUUGUCUGCCAACAAGUCUAACUUGACUUCUUCCUUUCUAGUUCGGAUGCCCUUUAUUUUUUCUCUCAGCUAAUUGCUCUGGCCAGGACUUCCAGAAUUAUACUGAAUAAAAGUGGUGAAAGUGUGGAUCUUUGUCUGGAUCCAGAUGUUAGAGAAAGGAUUUUCAAUUUUUCCCCAUUAAGUAUGAUGUUGGCUUUGGGUUUGUCUAAUAUAUGGCUUGUAUUACUUUAAGGUAUGGGAUACACCCAGUUUGUUGAGCAUUUUUAUCAUAAAGGGAUGUUAAAUUUUAUUGAAUGCUUUCUCAGCAUCUAUUGAAAUUAUAUGGCUUCUGUUCUUGGUUCUGUAAAUGCAAUGUAUCACAUUAAUGUAUCAUGCAAAUCAAUAAAUGUUUAUUAAAUAAUG